UAAGGAAUAUUGGACAAUGGGCGGAAGCCUGAUCCAGCCAUCCCGCGUGCAGGAUGACUGCCCUAUGGGUUGUAAACUGCUUUUAUGAGGGAAGAAUGGUAUCCAUUUAUGGGUAUUUGACGGUACCUCAGGAAUAAGCACCGGCUAACUCCGUGCCAGCAGCCGCGGUAAUACGGAGGGUGCAAGCGUUAUCCGGAAUCACUGGGUUUAAAGGGUGCGUAGGCGGCCAAGUAAGUCAGGGGUGAAAGCC
Molecule: ribosomal RNA, 250 nt
Filed under: uncultured bacterium
Lineage: Bacteria
Description: partial 16S ribosomal RNA
Rfam family: Bacterial small subunit ribosomal RNA
Source: RNAcentral